GGCCACUACCAGUUCAUUUGUUUAUUCAUAUCAGAAAAGGUUUGCUGGCAUUUCUUCUGCAGUGGAGAUCGAUGUAUCCCCUGCUCCAGAAGCAAGGGCAGCAUGCAGUUACACCCACAAAAACAUCAUCAGGCACUGCGUUGAUCUUCUUUUACUUCCAGGAUGAUAUGAGAUCUUCAUGUUCUGUUGUGAUGGCACAGCGCUCAUAAUUGGUUCCAGGCUUCUGCGCAGGCAAAGGAGAAGUCUGCGUUUGUCAAACGAUGCAUGUGUGGCUCAGGACGUUGUCUCUCACCCAACAUGGUGCGGCCAAUGCUAGCUUACUGAUGACUGACCUCUUCUAGAUGGCUUCAAUUUUAUAGCAAGCUUUUAAUCAGGAUGCGGUAGCUAGGGUUAGCAAUUCUGAAAGAUUUCAGUGUGGAGAAAGAGCAAAAAUGUUGAGUGCCGGUUUUCACAUGCACUAGUCCAGAAAGGUGUGACAAAAGGUUGAGAUCAGAAGAAAACUCCUU
Phragmites australis (common reed) is the source of this 506-nucleotide long non-coding RNA. RefSeq lists it as uncharacterized. The transcript has 3 exons. NCBI's taxonomy places the organism in Eukaryota, Viridiplantae, Streptophyta, Magnoliopsida, Poales, Poaceae. The record is from RefSeq and is a predicted model, not a curated record.